CCCUUAGAUGUUCUGGGCCGCACGCGCGCUACACUGAUUCAUGCAACAAGUUUUGUCCUUGGCUGAUAGGCCUUGGUAAUCUUUGAACGUGAAUCGUGAUGGGGAUAGAUGAUUGCAAUUAUUCAUCUUCAACGAGGAAUUCCUAGUAAACGCAAGUCAUCAGCUUGCAUUGAUUACGUCCCUGCCCUUUGUACACACCGCCCGUCGCACCUACCGAUUGAAUGGUCCGGUGAAAUCUUCGGAUCUGAGAGAUGUCUGAUUAAUUUCGGACGCCUUUUGGAAAAGUUGCUUAAACCUUACCAUUUAGAGGAAGGUGAAGUCGUAACA
This 327-nucleotide ribosomal RNA is filed under the name uncultured eukaryote. Its description in RNAcentral is "partial 18S ribosomal RNA". It matches the Rfam family "Eukaryotic small subunit ribosomal RNA", at positions 1470 to 1796 of the family's 1831-position model. The record is from RNAcentral.